CGCAUCUGUGCAUGCAGCAUAUCAAUAAGCGGAGGAAAAGAAACUAACAAGGAUUCCCUUAGUAACGGCGAGUGAAGCGGGAAGAGCUCAAAUUUGAAAUCUUCAAGGUUUUACCUUGACGAAUUGUAGUUUAAAGAAGUGUUUUCUGUUGAAGUUUUGGUAAAAGUUCUUUGGAAUAGGACAUCAUAGAGGGUGAGAAUCCCGUAUUUGACCAUUAUUUUCAGCUGUGUGAUACACUUUCAAAGAGUCGGAUUGUUUGGGAAUGCAGUCCAAAAUGGGUGGUAAAUUUCAUCUAAAGCUAAAUAUUGGCGAGAGACCGAUAGCGAACAAGUACCGUGAGGGAAAGAUGAAAAGAACUUUGAAAAGAGAGUUAAACAGUACGUGAAAUUGUCAAAAGGGAAGCGUUUGACACCAGUGUUGUUUUCUCGAAAAUCAAUUAAAAAGAGUUUGAUUUUGUUGUGUAUUGACCUUAACAGCUUGCAUUUCAAUUUUCUUGCUUUUUUUAAUGCACUUUUCGUUUAACAAGUCAACAUCAGUUUCUUUUGUUGUAAAAAGGUCAUUGGAAGGUGGCUUUCUUUUCGGAGAAAGUGUUUAUAGCCUUUGACUCCUGCAAUCGGAGAGGCUGAGGUCUGCAGCGUAGAUCCUUCGGGGUUAGAUACAUUUGUGCUAAGUUAUAGCUUUUUAUAGACAACUUGUUGACUAUGAUUAGUCUUGUAGCUUACUCGCUUAUGCUAUUUUACCUACGCUUAGGAUGUUGAUGUGAUACUGCGAGCA
Molecule: ribosomal RNA, 774 nt
Filed under: uncultured Neocallimastigales
Lineage: Eukaryota; Fungi; Neocallimastigomycota; Neocallimastigomycetes; Neocallimastigales
Description: partial large subunit ribosomal RNA
Rfam family: Eukaryotic large subunit ribosomal RNA
Source: RNAcentral